GGACAAUUUGGAUGAAAUGGAAAAAUUCCUAGAAAAAUACAAUCUCCCGCCGAAACUGAAUCAGGAGGAAUCAGAAAUUAUGAAUAGGCCAAUAAUAACUGAUGAAGUAGAAACAGUAAUAAAAAAGAA
Pipistrellus kuhlii (Kuhl's pipistrelle) is the source of this 129-nucleotide long non-coding RNA. RefSeq lists it as uncharacterized. The transcript is spliced from 2 exons. Lineage: Eukaryota; Metazoa; Chordata; Mammalia; Chiroptera; Vespertilionidae. The record is from RefSeq and is a predicted model, not a curated record.